RNAcentral lists this ribosomal RNA (442 nucleotides) under uncultured bacterium. RNAcentral describes it as "partial 16S ribosomal RNA". It matches the Rfam family "Bacterial small subunit ribosomal RNA", at positions 338 to 795 of the family's 1533-position model. The record is from RNAcentral.
CCUACGGGCGGCAGCAGUGGGGAAUAUUGGGCAAUGGGCGCAAGCCUGACCCAGCAAUGCCGCGUGAAGGCAGAAGGCUUUCGGGUUGUAAACUUCUUUGACAGGGGAAGAGCAGAAGACGGUACCCUGAAAACAAGCCACGGCUAACUACGUGCCAGCAGCCGCGGUAAUACGUAGGUGGCAAGCGUUGUCCGGAUUUACUGGGUGUAAAGGGCGUGUAGCCGGGAAGGCAAGUCAGAUGUGAAAUCUGGAGGCUCAACCUCCAAAUUGCAUUUGAAACUGUUUUUCUUGAGUACUGGAGAGGCAGACGGAAUUCCUUGUGGAGCGGUGAAAUGCGUAGAUAUAAGGAGGAACACCAGUGGCGAAGGCGGUCUGCUGGACAGCAACUGACGGUGAGGCGCGAAAGCGUGGGGAGCAAACAGGAUUAGAUACCCCAGUAGUC